This 397-nucleotide ribosomal RNA is filed under the name uncultured Pseudomonas sp. RNAcentral's name for it is "bacterial SSU rRNA". It matches the Rfam family "Bacterial small subunit ribosomal RNA", at positions 984 to 1382 of the family's 1533-position model. The record is from RNAcentral. Lineage: Bacteria; Pseudomonadati; Pseudomonadota; Gammaproteobacteria; Pseudomonadales; Pseudomonadaceae.
ACAUGCAGAGAACUUUCCAGAGAUGGAUUGGUGCCUUCGGGAACUCUGACACAGGUGCUGCAUGGCUGUCGUCAGCUCGUGUCGUGAGAUGUUGGGUUAAGUCCGUAACGAGCGCAACCCUUGUCCUUAGUUACCAGCACGUUAUGGUGGGCACUCUAAGGAGACUGCCGGUGCAAACCGGAGGAAGGCGGGGAUGACGUCAAGUCAUCAUGGCCCUUACGGCCUGGGCUACACACGUGCUACAAUGGUCGGUACAAAGGGUUGCCAAGCCGCGAGGUGGAGCUAAUCCCAUAAAACCGAUCGUAGUCCGGAUCGCAGUCUGCAACUCGACUGCGUGAAGUCGGAAUCGCUAGUAAUCGUGAAUCAGAAUGUCACGGUGAAUACGUUCCCGGGCCUU